RNAcentral lists this long non-coding RNA (1424 nucleotides) under Homo sapiens (human). RNAcentral's name for it is "non-protein coding lnc-IBTK-6:1". The record is from RNAcentral. Lineage: Eukaryota; Metazoa; Chordata; Mammalia; Primates; Hominidae.
ACUCGCCCUACACUCCUGCAGUUUUAAACAAUCUAGGCAAUAUAACAGCCAGCUCUUCUAAAGAUCACUGCCUUCAUAAGCACAUUGUAAAUCAUAAAUUAUUGUAAUUUAUGAAAUGCAGUAGAACAGUGAAACUAUGUUUGCCUUCCCAAACAUCCAUCAGGAAGAAUAUUGGUAAUUAGUUUGUAUUCAAUUUGUAAUUUGAUUGUUUAAACUGGCGCUUUGUUCAACGUUUGUUUUUUGUUCUGUUUUGUUAACUACCACUUUGCAAAUAUUUUAUUCUAGAAUCACAGCCCAUCAUGUUCUAAAACAAAUUGAAUUGCCAAGAAAUACACCUCGGUUUUAGUCUGUUCAGGCUGCUAUAACAAAAUACCACAAACUGCAUGGUGGCUUAUAAACAACAAAAUUCAUUUCUCACAGUUCUGGAGGCCAGAGAGUCCAAGAGCAGAGAACCAGCAGAUUCAGUGUCUGGUGAGGACCCGUUUCCUGGUUCAUAGAUGGCGUCUUCUCCCUGUGUCCUCACAUGGUGGAAGGAGCAAGGCAGCUAUCUGGGGUCUCUUUUAUAAGGCAGUAGUCCCAUUUUCAAGGGCAGAGUCCUCAUGACCUAACCACCCCCCAAAAGGGCUUACCUCUUGUCAUUAAGUCUGACAUGUGAUCUACUAUUAAGCUAUCUUCCACCAUCAUACAGAUUAUAUUCAUUAAAUUAAAACCUUUUUUUGGUUCAGCACACUUAAGUUCAAACAUAAUAGUCAAUACUGUGAUUACUGAAUCAGAUAACAGUUUUCCAAUAUUGAAAAAAGUAUUUCCUCAGUUUUGUGUGCUAAUCACAAUGUAAUAGCUACUAAAAAAACAUGCUUUUAAGUUUAAUUUGCAUUUUUAACAUUUACUCAUCACUUUUUAAAGUCUAGAUGAAGGGUAUAGAAACAUUUUCUAUAAUGGGCCAAACAGUGAAUAUUUUAGGCUUUGUGGGUCUAACAUCUCUGUUAAAACUACUCUGCCAUGGUAGCAUAAAACUAGUCACAAACAGUACAUAAGUAAAUGGACAUGGCUGUGUUCCAGGGAAACUUUAUUUAUAACAACACAUAGCAAGCAUGCCCUCUUUUACUGAAUCCUGAUUUAGAUAAUCAACAAAACAAUAAAUCAAGCUGUGCUGCUUGCCAAUUUCCCUCAUGUAAAUACUCCCACCAUUAUCAAAUUUAAGUUUCAACACGAAGUUACCGAAAGUAGAGUUAGAAAGAAAUGCAUAGUUGCAUGCCAUUUUUAGCAUUCCUACCAUUAAUACAAAUAGACAUAAAUAACCUCAAUGGCACAGAUAAUAGUAAAAAUGUAGUUAAAUAAUUAGGGAGUGAUAAAUUUUGAGUAUUUAUUACUUUGUAAAAAACAAAAUUUUAGGUCAGGCAGUCUAGCUCACACCUGUAAUCCCA